UAAAAGUACUUACCAACACCCCCACCCACUUUUAAUAAAACCCGUAUCCUCUCUAUCAUUUUUUUCUAUGUGAAAGCUCGUAAAUCCAAAAUAAUGGACUCUUUCAUAUUCUCUCUCAAGAUCUGGAAUCUCAAUCAAAAUCUAUGCAUAAGAACUUGCUUGAUUUUAGCAUUUCAUAAGACCAAGACAAGUUCAUCUUAAAGAAAAAUUUAUCGCAUUUUUGGAACUUCUACAGAAUUUUGAAAGAGAUUCGAGG
This is a long non-coding RNA of Solanum pennellii, 256 nucleotides long. RefSeq lists it as uncharacterized. The transcript has 3 exons. The record is from RefSeq and is a predicted model, not a curated record. Lineage: Eukaryota; Viridiplantae; Streptophyta; Magnoliopsida; Solanales; Solanaceae.